CCCAAAGCCAGCUGCAUCACUAGCCUUAAGAGCUCAUUAGGCUCCGGCACCGUGUGACCUGCCAGGAGGAGACACAGAAUGGGCGCACGCAGAGAGCCAGAAUGGAGCGGCCGCCACACAAGAUGGCCCAGGGAUCCUGCCAGCUGGUUGCACGCCCCAGGCUCAGCUGCCCCCUCCAAGGAACUCGUGUCCCAUUUGGGAAAGAGAGAGAGAGAGCACAGAUUGAAGGCUGGGGGAGAUUUGUCCACACCCACUCCACCUCCUGAUCCGGAGUUCUUUCUGCGAUCAGCUUCCCUCUCCACCUGCAGAAGCCUUGCAUCUGCCGGGGGCCUGCUUGUUUGCCUGGAGACGCUGCCUCGUUGUCAUCGUUUUAUUUUAAAGGGAAGUGCCCCUCCCCCUUGGUGGCCCAGGGAUGGGCGGGGUUCAGAGGGCUUGGAUUCGGCCAUACAUUGCUGCGUUGUGGAAUGUGCCACAAAUCCACCAGAACAGAACAGGCUGGGAAGGUCACAGGAGAGAGGCUGUGUCUUCCGACACGCUCUCUUCGGGAUAGCAUUUGCUGAGCAAACCUGGUCUUCCUUGGCUCCAGUAAGUGACUCAGAGAACGAGGACAUGGUUCCUCGCCCGCAUGGACCAGGACAGGCUGUGUCUCCCUUGGGCCUAGAACCAUCCAGGUAUCGGGAACGCCCUGCCAUCUCCCCGUCGGUGGCAGUGUCAGGCACAAAGAGGAGACGGUAGCCUCACUGGGUGAAUCAGAGGGGUCUUAGGAGGGAAAUCGGCUGUGUGGCCUCCCACUCUGUGCUGGGGAAGGGUCCGGGGGGAAACGGGGACCCCCCCCACCCUCGGGAGGGGUCUGCUGAAUCCUGAAAUUGAAUGAAGGGCUCACCACCCCUUCUUUUACUCCUCAUGUUUCAUCCACCACCAGGUCCUGCUGAGGGUACCUGGGUGCGUCCCCGCUGCCACCACCCUGGUCCAGGCCCCUGCUGCCUCCUGCCUGGAAAGUUCAGCUGCAUCCAAGGUGAUCUUUCUAAAAUCCAAGAACUAGCUGGACACAGUACAGCAUGAGCGAGGGGUGAAAUGACAGAAGCUUCUGACACAAGAACAGUCAGGGAAGAAAACUCCAGUGUUGCCUUGACAUUGUGCCCUCUGGCCGGCAUGCCCACAUGGCCCAUCUCAUUGACCCCUUGCAGCCUCCCAGUACGGUGGGUCUGAUUAUCCCCAUCCUGCAGCAGAGGCUCGUGCUCUGAACCCGCCAACGGCUGUGCUCUGAAUCCUUCAUUGCCUUUCAGUUCACUCAGAAUUCGACAGAGAGCAUCUCACGUCCCUACAAGCCCCAGCUGCGGGCACCAACGGCACAAACUAGACAGCCUUGCUGUCUUCUGCCAACGAGCAUCUUCAGUCUCCUCACCUUCGUGGAGAAAGCAAACCCCGAGACCCAGGUGCUUUUGGUGAGGCUGCCUGGAACAAUAACAGCCAAGCUUUGGUUGUCCGCAGUAAAUGGGGAAGGGGCAGUCCCCGUUGUUGCCAUCAGUGUUUCUUGAGCACCUAUUAUGUGCACAGCCCUAUGCUGGGAGGAUGGAGGCCAUAAAAGGCACCCAGGCUAUGAGGCCAUGUCGGGAUUUGAGCAGUAUAAUACAAUCAUCUAUACCACACGCUGCGAGCCCACCGUGCGCCAGCCCUGCAUGCACGUCUCUCUGACCCUCACGACAGCCCUGCAGGGUAAGUGCCCUUGUGUUAUUCUCGUGCUGGAGCCGGGGGAAUUAAGGUCCAAAGGACAGUGGUAACUAGCGAAGGCCACACAGCUGACGAUGGUAACGCCUGGCCUCUGUGUGUCUAGUGCAGCGGGUCCCAAAGUCUGGUCCCUGGUCCCCCAGCAUCAGCGUCACCUGGGAACUCGUUAGAAAUGCAGGAUCUUGGGCCCCAGACCCACUGAAUCAGGACCUCUGGGGAGGAGCCCACGAUCUGUAUUUGAACAAGUCCUCCAGGCUUCAAAUUUGGGAACCACCAAGUCAUGAGGUAUUUUAUGUAUAAAUGGUUUGAAGGCUGUAAAGCACUUAUUUGUCAGCAGGGUUUUUUUUUGGUGCCUGAAAGGCUUUUCAUGU
Balaenoptera ricei (Rice's whale) is the source of this 2099-nucleotide long non-coding RNA. RefSeq lists it as uncharacterized. The record is from RefSeq and is a predicted model, not a curated record. The transcript is spliced from 3 exons. Lineage: Eukaryota; Metazoa; Chordata; Mammalia; Artiodactyla; Balaenopteridae.